CAGAGUCUGGGACUGUGAGGAGCGGCGCGCAGUUUUGUGGAGGGUGUGGGACGUGGAGCGCUGGAAGGGGCGGCGGCGGGAAAGGACAGUCAGUGACGCUGUGUCUUAGCGCGUAGCGGAGGAAAACUAUUGCURAGUUACGGCGCGAGUAAAUAAAAACCUAUCAUCCUGAACUCUAGGUCGAGCUUUCCCAGGCCACUGCCUUUCAACACCUGUUUUUCACAUUUCAUUUUGACCCGCCUUCUUGGGUUGUAGGAAAUAACCUGGACGCAAGUGCUGGGACUGCUUCUUUAUGCAGUUCUCAAACAUGUUUCCUAUGUUCUGAUUUUCCUAGAGCUAAGACCACGGUAAAUAGAAAGACUUGGCUCUUUCAUAGUUUUGAAUCUAAGUGGGGAAGGUGAAAGAUUUUUCUUUUUGUUUUUUUGAGGGUUUGCCAGUUCGUUAUUUUUAUUUAUGGAAGAUUUAACUAGCAGUUUUAAUACUAGGACAAAGUAGGCACUUAUUAGAUGUUUUCUUAAUGAAAGUGUGUUUCUGAACAUAUCCUUUCAAAGUUCUAACUUGAUAACCAUGCUCUAUGUGAAAUUACCAAAUAAGGAUGAUACAGUGUACAAAACCAUCAAGCGCCUAAGGCCAAAUGGCAGGAUUACAUUGUUUUAGCAGUGCCGCUAACUAAUUGAGUGAGUCACUGGUUCAUAGUUGUUUUUGUCUUAUAACAAUAUAUCUAAAAUUAUGAGGUGAUUGGGAUUUCUAAUCUGUACUGAUAAAAAGUAUAAUUACCGUUCAACAUUUGAAAUGUAUAUUUCUAGAAUCAAAUAUGGAAAUUUAGGAAAAUGUUACAUAGUUAAUAAGUUAGCUGAAAUUACUAGAGAAAAAUGUUAUAACACUAAUAUGAACAACAACCAGAAGUCAAUAAAAGUGCUGGGGAUUGAACCUAAGGCCUUGCACAUAUAGUUCAUCCCAGAAGACAAGCGGGUCAGAGCUCUUCUGCCGGAUCUUCAACAUGUGCUGCACCAGGCGGAUGGAACGAUUAUAGGA
Urocitellus parryii (Arctic ground squirrel) is the source of this 1035-nucleotide long non-coding RNA. RefSeq lists it as uncharacterized. The record is from RefSeq and is a predicted model, not a curated record. Lineage: Eukaryota; Metazoa; Chordata; Mammalia; Rodentia; Sciuridae.